This 498-nucleotide ribosomal RNA is filed under the name uncultured bacterium. RNAcentral's name for it is "partial 16S ribosomal RNA". It matches the Rfam family "Bacterial small subunit ribosomal RNA", at positions 29 to 523 of the family's 1533-position model. The record is from RNAcentral.
AUUGAACGCUGGCGGCAUGCUUUACACAUGCAAGUCGAACGGUAACAGGCCGCAAGGUGCUGACGAGUGGCGAACGGGUGAGUAAUGCAUCGGAACGUGCCCAGUCGUGGGGGAUAACGCAGCGAAAGCUGUGCUAAUACCGCAUACGAUCUAUGGAUGAAAGCGGGGGACCGUAAGGCCUCGCGCGAUUGGAGCGGCCGAUGUCAGAUUAGGUAGUUGGUGGGGUAAAGGCCUACCAAGCCGACGAUCUGUAGCUGGUCUGAGAGGACGACCAGCCACACUUGGACUGAGACACGGCCCAGACUCCGACGGGAGGCAGCAGUGGGGAAUUGUGGACAAUGGGCGCAAGCCUGAUCCAGCAAUGCCGCGUGCAGGAAGAAGGCCUUCGGGUUGUAAACUGCUUUUGUACGGAACGAAACGGUCUGGGUUAAUACCCUGGGCUAAUGACGGUACCGUAAGAAUAAGCACCGGCUAACUACGUGCCAGCAGCCGCGGUAA